This is a long non-coding RNA of Zingiber officinale, 695 nucleotides long. RefSeq lists it as uncharacterized. The record is from RefSeq and is a predicted model, not a curated record. The transcript is spliced from 3 exons. Lineage: Eukaryota; Viridiplantae; Streptophyta; Magnoliopsida; Zingiberales; Zingiberaceae.
UUUCGCUGAUUUGUUUUCCUUCUUCUCUCUCUGCUUUCUCCUUCGCCACUUCGCUAUCGAAUCACAGAGAUGCCGAUCGGUCCCUCGCCGUCGACCUCGUCGUCUCCUCGAUCCAUAAUCGGCCUGCGUUCCUACUUUCCCCCCUCAGAUUUGUAGAUCGUAUGCAUCUGGCGGAAGCUCCUAGUCGACUACAUCAUUGGCUUCUUUUGGCGGCUUGCAUUUGAAGAAAACAGAACUGAUCUACUCGAAUCUGAUGCAUCCGGAAAAGAGAAAGCACAAUCGCUCAGUACAACACAGUUCUUCCACUAUCGGCGGCACGUCUCGGCCUGCAGAGCACAAACUGCAUGGAGGCAUCUGCAGUGAAGGUACAGUACGUUGAGGUAUGAUGCAAACGCGGACUAUGAGCUUCCAACUUUAAUUUGUCUUAAUUGCAUUCUUAAAUUCUUAAUUAAUUAUUAGCUGCAUAGAUUAAUUGCAAAUGAACUGUGGAGGCUGCAUAACGAAAUCGCUAAUUAGUAAUGGAAAUAAAGUUUGGUUGGCAAUCGAAAUUGGAGCGACUGAAAUAUUAGUUCGCUAAUUUGUGUUCUCCUUACUUAUUGUGACACAUAGGGAAAAAAAAAAUCUAAAUACUCUGACUAACAUUAUGAAAUUAUUGGGAUUUAUUUUUCCAUAAAGAGAGCAAGGAUAAAAUUAUU